Molecule: transfer RNA, 72 nt
Rfam family: tRNA
About the family: Transfer RNA (tRNA) molecules are approximately 80 nucleotides in length.
Source: Rfam
UGUCGUAUAACUCAAUGGUAGAGUGCUUGACUGUUAAUCAAGAAGUUGUAGGUUCGAGUCCUACUACGACAG